GGCUGUAGCUCAGUGGUAAAGCACUUGCCUCACAUGUGUAAGGCACUGAGUUGGAUCCUCAGCACCA
This 67-nucleotide transfer RNA is filed under the name Marmota monax (woodchuck). RNAcentral's name for it is "tRNA.Val". Lineage: Eukaryota; Metazoa; Chordata; Mammalia; Rodentia; Sciuridae. The record is from RNAcentral.